RNAcentral lists this long non-coding RNA (3258 nucleotides) under Triticum aestivum (bread wheat). Its description in RNAcentral is "long non-coding RNA (TAES_LNC014513)". The record is from RNAcentral. Lineage: Eukaryota; Viridiplantae; Streptophyta; Magnoliopsida; Poales; Poaceae.
GAGAACCUCACACUCUCCGACCAUUAGACGUGGCUCUUGCCUGAUCCUUUCAUCUCCUUCUAUCCCCUCGUACCAAAAUUGCUUCCACCCGAGCGCUGCAGAUUCAAUUCUGAAUAAACCUUAGUUUCCCCUCUUGAUUCCUUGCCGUGAUCUUGCUCGUCCUCAACUGCACGCACCUUUGCAGCUCGGCUCACUGGUGCGGCGACGGCGUGACCAUCUACGGCGCCUGGUUUUUCCCCGAUGUAUGCCUCCUCAAUCUCUUAUGCUGGUCAACGGCGGCGGAGGGGUAGCAGGGCUCGACGAGAAGCUGCACAAUGGAGGAGGCGAGCUUGUCGAUCUUGACAGUGCCGUUGUCGUCGCCGUCCUUCGAGGCGACAUGGGUGUGGAUCUCGUCUGCUACAGCGAGCUUGGAUCCACAUCGUAUCGUGGUUGUCCCCGAGCAAGACAGCCCAGCAGGUCGUCUUGCUCCUCGAUAGAGGUAGCCUGAUUUCGGCGGCUCAUUCUUCCACCUGUAGGUCCUCACUUCUCCAUUUUCAUGCAUUUAUCAUAUAUUUUUUUCUUGGUCCUUAUCAUUUCUUUGCAUGUGUAUGGCUAAACUAAUAGGAGUACAAUGUGCUUUCGGGUACAACUUGUUACUGAAAGGUGUAAAUUUAUCUAUGCCCCCUCCACUUUUUUUAGUACUUGGGACUGGCAUCGACAAUGUUUGGCCCCCUGCUCCCAUUCUUUUCAACAGAUUUAAUAUGUAAUUAGUUAAUUUGUUAUAAUUUUACGAUUUCCCAAAGAUAGAAUUAUUUUAGUAAGUGAAUAUGAAAGUAGGUGCCAUUUAAUUUUACAUAUUAACUAUAAUGAUCCGUGGAUGCUGUAACUACUGUCAUGUUCAGUAGAAUAAUUUUCAAAUAUCAAAAAAUAUAUAUAGCACCGACAAUUGGUAUUAUUGAGCUAUUUCCAUCGAAUGUUGAUGCAUGUUUCAAUAAUUCUGGGAGUAUUAGAUCAUAUCCGCCGUCAUAUCAUGUUAGCAUAGCAAAAUCAGUUUAGUUCCAUCUUCUUAUGGUUAUGUUCCAUCAUAGGAGUAUCAUGUUAGCAUAGAAAAAACAGGGCUAGUAGCAUGUGUAAGUGCGUUUUUAGUUCCUACCUUGAGGAUAUUUCUGUGAAGACUAUGUUCUUGACCACAUCAUUCUCGCUGUUAGUUCAUUUGCUAUACAAAAGAAAAUAACAUGUGUGAUCAAGUCGGUAGGGUAUUACUUGCGAGUGCGUUUCCAAAGUAUAACCUUUCUCUUAUAUUUCUCUUGAACACUUUGAUCUUUAUGUAGAUCACCCGGUCAACAAUAUCAGGUCUUCAUGAUGCUGCUAUGCCUACUUUCUGUAGCAAAGAUUGAAUGUCACAAAUAGGUCUGUGUAUCCAGCCCAUCGACAUAUUGCCAUAGCAUCGUAUUAGUUUUAUGCUUUGUAUCUUUGGGCUAUCUGUGAAGCUGGAUGGCACAUGACAAUAGUAUUGUCCUUCAUACCUGGGCAGCCCUUGCAUCUCCUCGGUCUAUUGUGUCUUGCAAGCCAGCAUAUAAUUGCGUUCUUAGGUUUCCUUUAUGUCUUUUCAUGCAGUCUAUUUGUACUGCACUACUGCAAAAUGCCUGCAAAGGAAUCCGUAUUGAACUGCAAUUUAAGCUUUUCACACACCAGCAAGGUUUACAUGAUUUCUCUUGCAUUUUGCACCUUCUUUUAUUGUGCAAUGUAUAUUUCCUCUAUACCCAUCUUCUCCGUAGUGGAAUAACAAUGGAUACUGCACAACCAUGAAUUUUGAAUGGUUCUCCGAUAUUCUUCUUGGUCUCAUGUCUUUGUACUGAACAAUGAUAUCAUGUACUUUUCCAUUCUCUGUUGUAUCACUGACAAUCAAGGCUGCUACUUCAGUUGCAGAUGGCAUGUCAUGUUGUGCUAAUCUCACAUUGUGAUAGUUCAAGUCUGGUACUUCAGUUGCAGAUGGUAUGCCAUGUCGUGUUAAUCUCACGUGGAUAGUCACCUUCGAAUUUAUCCCUUACCAUUCUGAGUGUUUUUGCUAGUCUAUCUUUAUCCAAUAUAUUUUUAAGGUCCUCGACAAUGGGAGGAUCUGUUGAUUCCCUUUUAUCUUCUGAUGUUGACGCGUCAACUCUGAUUCUUACCUCAUUUGUAGUGGCAUAGGUGUGCAACUACGCCGUGCGUAGUUUGUCUUUACCUUCAGGUAGUAGAGCACCUAUCUGUGAUAUUUUUGGCCAUUCAUUCCAAAUACAUAAGGCAUGGGACCAUUUUUUCUGUGUCUACCUCUCCUCCCAUUGAUGUGAAAGCGAACAUGGAGUUGUACAAUCUGAUAUUGUGCAUGUAGUUCUUUCUUCCACCUCUUUACGAACUAAAAGCAUUUGAUUGUGUUGUCACACCUUGAAUUGAAGACGUGCAUUAUACUACUGAUUAUGUUAUUGCUGUUAAGAAAUAUUGAAAUCUAAGAAUAAGAUAAGAUUGCAAUUGAGGAUGAGAAGUUGAUGUACAACAAUGACUGAAAAUCCACAAGGGGAACUUAUGAGAAGUUUAAAAAGCCAUUUUACAUGAAUUAAAAGCUUUUGAUUGUGUUGUCAUACCUUGAAUUGAAGACAUUAGUUGUUCUGCCAUUUCUGCUCUUACUUUUAAGAAAAUAUUGAACUUUAUGUCAGUUCUAUAUGAUCUCUGCAGAUGGUCCAGCUGCUGGAGGUGAUCUGCUCACCUGAUGGAAUCGUCGGCACACAAUUGAGAAGAUUGGGGCACUCGCUCGUGAGAGUUCUUUUUUUAGAGCUCUUUUUUAGGAAAACCUGAUGGAGCCGAUGGCACAAUCGAGGAGGAUGGCACAAUCGUGGAGAUUGGGGCACUCGCUCGUGAGAGUUCUUUUUUAGGGAAAGCCAUCAUGGUGAUGUAUAUUGAUUUGGAAUAAUAGUACAUCAUCGGCAAGAACGGCAAGUAAAAAUUUGGAGGGUUGCUUGUGAUGGUAUGAGUCGAACCUAUGGUGAGUUUUGUUUAUGAGAUCGUGAGAUUGAUUGUGUGAUUUGUGUAAAGAACACGGGACAGAUCAAAAAAUGGUCUGUGAGACCCGCGUAUAGGAGAUGGCAAAAAGACAAAACGGCAUGCAUGCAAUUGAUCAUUGUAGGGUUGGAUAUUUGGGAAGAAUCCAUCAACGUACAUACCUUGCUCUUGGCCACUGCUCAUGCAUGCUACAUAUUGGUAAAGGGAGCCACCUCGAAGGAGGCGACAUGUGCCUUUUAGCCC